ACCAUGCCUAGUGUGUACCUGCGUGAGC
Molecule: small RNA, 28 nt
Filed under: Bombyx mori (domestic silkworm)
Lineage: Eukaryota; Metazoa; Arthropoda; Insecta; Lepidoptera; Bombycidae
Description: ovarian small RNA-11244
Source: RNAcentral